Molecule: ribosomal RNA, 423 nt
Filed under: uncultured bacterium
Lineage: Bacteria
Description: bacterial SSU rRNA
Rfam family: Bacterial small subunit ribosomal RNA
Source: RNAcentral
GGGCGCAAGCCUGAACCAGCCAUGCCGCGUGCAGGAAGACUGCCCUAUGGGUUGUAAACUGCUUUAUACAGGAAGAAACACUCGGACGUGUCCGAGCUUGACGGUACUGUAAGAAUAAGGAUCGGCGUAACUCCGUGCCAGCAGCCGCGGUAAUACGGAGGAUCCAAGCGUUAUCCGGAAUCAUUGGGUUUAAAGGGUCCGUAGGUGGAUUAGUAAGUCAGAGGUGAAAGCCUGCAGCUCAACUGUAGAACUGCCUUUGAUACUGCUAGUCUUGAGUCAUUAUGAAGUGGUUAGAAUGUGUAGUGUAGCGGUGAAAUGCAUAGAUAUUACACAGAAUACCGAUUGCGAAGGCAGAUCACUAAUAAUGUACUGACACUGAUGGACGAAAGCGUGGGGAGCGAACAGGAUUAGAUACCCUGGUAG